AGUGCGUAACAGCUCACUAGUCGAGGGUCUGUGCGUGGAUAAUAAUCGGGUAUUAAACAUGCCACCGAAGCCGCGGGAUCAUGCUUGUGCAUGAUCGGUAGGGGAGCAUUCCAUGGAUGUUGAAUGCUUUCCGUAAGGAAAGCUGGAGUUCAUGGAAAAGCAAAUGUAGGUAUAAGUAACGAUAAAGAGGGUGAGAUGCCCUCUCGCCGAAAGACUAAGGUUUCCUGGGCAACGUUAAUCGUCCCAGGGUCAGUCGGGUCCUAAGGAUAAGCCUAACGGCGAGGCCGAGUGGAUGAAACGGUUAAUAUUCCGUUACUGGUUUAUAUGAGUGAAGCGAAGACGGGGCGGUGACACUUCCGCGUCCUUACGAAUCAGGGCGUUGAAAGGAGAAGGUGUUGAUUGCGGUAGUUAAGUACGCCGUGAGAGCCGAAUCCUGAUAGUACGAUCUUCCUAUUAGGAAGAUUGAUAGUGAAGGUAAUAGCCUCCGAGAAAAUCCGCUAAACGUUUUAAGUGUGAACCACCCGUACCGUAAACGGACACACGUAGUUGGGUAGAAAAUACUAAGGCGCUAGGGAGAUUCACGGUUAAGGAACUAGGCAAAAUAGCCCUGUAACUUCGGGAUAAAGGGUCCUGCUAAAACGCAGGCGCAGUGAAAAGGUCCAGGCAACUGUUUACCAAAAACACAGGGCUGUGCAAAGUGUAACUACGCAGUAUACAGCCUGACACCUGCCCGGUGCCGGAAGGUUAAGAGGAGGGCUUAUCAGCAAUGAGAAGGUCUGAAUUGAAGCCCCGGUAAACGGCGGCCGUAACUAUAACGGUCCUAAGGUAGCGAAAUUCCUUGUCAGGUAAGUUCUGACCCGCACGAAAGGCGUAACGAUUUGGGCGCUGUCUCAGCUGUAGACUCGGUGAAGUCUUAGUACCUGUGAAGAUGCAGGUUACCCGCGACUAGACGGAAAGACCCCAUGGAGCUUCACUGCAGGUUGAUAUUGGGAUUUGAUGCAGCAUGUACAGGAUAGGUAGGAGGCAAAGAGAUGGAUACGCCAGUAUUCAAGGAGCCGCUGUUGGGAUACUACCCCUGUUGUAUUGGAUUUCUAACCGGACGACGUAGAGCCGUUGACGGGACAGUGUCAGUCGGGCAGUUUGACUGGGGCGGUCGCCUCCCAAAGAGUAACGGAGGCGCCCAAAGAUACCCUCAGCUUGGAUGGAAACCAAGCGCAGAGUGCAAAGGCAAAAGGGUGUUUGACUGCGAGACCCACAAGUCGAGCAGGGACGAAAGUCGGGCUUAGUGAUCCGGCGGUGCUGAAUGGAAAGGCCGUCGCUCAACGGAUAAAAGCUACCCUGGGGAUAACAGGCUGAUCUCCCCCAAGAGUUCACAUCGACGGGGAGGUUUGGCACCUCGAUGUCGGCUCAUCGCAUCCUGGGGCUGUAGUCGGUCCCAAGGGUUGGGCUGUUCGCCCAUUAAAGCGGUACGCGAGCUGGGUUCAGAACGUCGUGAGACAGUUCGGUCCCUAUCCGUCGCGGGCGUAGGAAAUUUGAGAGGAUCUGUCCUUAGUACGAGAGGACCGGGAUGGACAUACCGCUGGUGUACCAGUUGUUCCGCCAGGAGCAUCGCUGGGUAGCUAAGUAUGGAUGAGAUAAACGCUGAAAGCAUCUAAGUGCGAAACUCACCUCGAGAUAAGAUUUCCCAUUACGUAAGUAAGUAAGAUCCCUGAAAGAUGAUCAGGUAGAUAGGAUGGAAGUGGAAGUGCUGCGAGGCAUGGAGCGGACCAUUACUAAUCGAUCGAGGACUUAACCAA
RNAcentral lists this ribosomal RNA (1796 nucleotides) under human gut metagenome. RNAcentral's name for it is "bacterial LSU rRNA". It matches the Rfam family "Bacterial large subunit ribosomal RNA", at positions 1129 to 2925 of the family's 2925-position model. The record is from RNAcentral.